Lytechinus pictus (painted urchin) is the source of this 8876-nucleotide long non-coding RNA. RefSeq lists it as uncharacterized. Lineage: Eukaryota; Metazoa; Echinodermata; Echinoidea; Temnopleuroida; Toxopneustidae. The transcript is spliced from 8 exons. The record is from RefSeq and is a predicted model, not a curated record.
CUGAAUGAUGUUAAUGCCGGGUGCCGAUGCCAUUUGAUUUUUGUCUAAAUUUGCAUACAUACACAAUGAUGUGAGUAAAUGAGCAUGUAAUAUUAAAGACUGAACAAGCACUGAUGCAUAUAUCUUCAUGGUCUCUAGUUCUGUGUUACCUGCCGAUCUCCGAACAGCAGAGGAAUUGAAACGAGAGAAAGAUGGCAAUGGUGAUCAUCUCCUUUGACCUUGGGACUGCAAGCAUAGAGUGCAAUCCACAAGAGCAACACCCUGAACGAUUCAUCUGGCACAAGUGGUCCAAGGGAAGUACGGAGUAUGGCACUAGAAUAGGAAGAAAUUUUGCCCCGCUGGAGGAUGAAUUCUCAGGUUAAAGGUCAAGAAUAUGCGACCAGAACCAGUGGAUGGAUGAGUAUGGGCCCAGGACAGGCUGGUCGCUAUCACCUAGGGCCGAGCCAUUACAGGGGUUUCUUUCGACCGGUUACUGCUCUUUGGGAGGAGACCAGAGGACCGCUGAAAUAAAUAAAUGCAUUCGAAAUUCAGUGUCGUCAACCACUUUCAGACCUAUAUGUCAAAACCUUUUCAUGAUUCUAUAUAUUUCAAACCUUCAAUCAAUCAAGCAGAGCUUUCUUGCUUGAAUUUAUUAGCCAGUGAUGUUAUAAUCUGGUUGCAUGGUGCUUACGUUUUCUUUUAGCGACUCUACUCCACUGCAUGAUAGCAGCGAAGUAUUAACAAUCGCAAACAGACAGACUAUAAAUUGGCUACGCCCACGCAUGAGGAUUAUAUAACCACUAGCUAGUAAAUUCAAGCAGAAAAAUUGAGGUAUCCUGCUCUGUGAUGUUUCUAUAGUACUAUUCAUUGGUGAAAUGAUAAUAUCAUAUGAAACUUUGAGGAAAUUUAGUUCAUAUAUAACUAUUUCUUACUGAUUGAUUGUCAAAAAUCUUUGAUGCUGUGAAUUUCUAAUGUAUUUAUUUUGGUGGUCCACUGGUCUGGAAGAAAUCGGACCUUGACCAGCAGCAUCAGUCAGUCUCUGUGGACCAGUUUGUUCGACUCCGCCUUACCAUCAACGAUCAACCAUUGAUGCAUGUGACAUUGAAAGAUGCCCAGUCUGUUACAACGAUCAGAGUGAGCUGUUAAACAAAGGACAGAAUGCUAGAAGAGGGACAAAGAGACUCUGACCUCCCAGUCAUUAUUUUUCCAAACGUAAAGGACCUAUUGACCUUGCAUCAGAGGCUACGCAGAUGGUGAAGGCUAUGAAAGCACUGGUUUAAUCAGAAGGUGUUUAUAAAAGGAGAUCAUUGGUGCCCCUACAACCAGGUGUGACCCCUCCCAUGUGCUCCCUCAGUACACAGCCAUACCAACCAACCAAUCAGCUUCUCUGCAUCCUCAUCACCUGUCCAUAGUCCAGUGUCCUGCCCACCCAGCAGCCGCCCCUCAGGUGGUGUCCAUGAAAGGAGAUUAUCAGUGCCCCUACCACCAGGUGUGACCCCUCCCCUGUGCUAUCUCAGUACACAGCAACUAUACAUGUACCAACCAACCAAUCAGCUUCUCUGCAUCCUCAUUGCCUGCCCAUAGUCCACUGCCCCGUCAACCCAGAAGACGACUCUCCAUUGAUCCCCAGGUCAGGCUGAAGACUGAUAAGCUUCAGGUGCUGUAGCUGUUUUAAGAAGGGAGAGCAUGCUAGAAGACCGUAGAACAGAGGACCACCCGGUUAUCUUGCCAAACAUAGAGGACCUUGCAACAGAGGCAAAGAAUACGGUGAAGCAAACCUUUUGUGUGACAGGGCUAAGAUGUCUGGAGGAUCAAACAUCAUUUUCUAGAAGUCAAAUUCAGGUUUUCUAUUUAAAUACAGGAGGUUUCAAUCAAUGUAAAUUAACUAGAUAUCGGUGUAGACUUUAUGUCAGUUUGUCCAAACUUUUUAGUAUCAACUACUGUAGGGGCCUUGUAUAUGUACUUCCUACUCAUGAACCAACUUUUGUAUGUAUGUUAUGGUGAUUUUUGUGUAGAUCCAAGGAGCAGGUCCAAGCUAUUAUUUCUUUAGUAUCUUUUAUUAUCUGUUGUUUCAUUGACAAUUUGUAAAGAAUGGUUUCAUAAAAUCAUUGCUUAAACCCUUUAUAGCCCACGCUAUUUCAAGAUUGCAUAGUCGGGGGGGGGGGGGGGGAGGCUUAUUUGACCCUUCCCCCCUCACUCUCAUUGGGGGAUCGCGCUAUCAUGACAAAAAUUUAUAUGCAUAUCACCCAUGACAUAAUCUCCAUGAUUGGAUAGUUUAUCUUACAAAAAUUAUUCAAAUUUAUCAAAUUUGCUAAUUGAUGCAUAAAAUCAUAAUUUGGCUGCAAAUCUUUUAGUUUAGCUCCAAAACUGCUAGAUUUUGUUCUGGAAACCCUUAGGAAUCUUAGAAAAUGUAUAUUAAGAAAUGGUGAUAUCAAAAUAUUUUUUACUUAUUUUUAUUUUUUCAAUCUGUAAAAGUGGAAAUAAUUACACAUUCAUGAACAACAAUUAUUCAAAUUCAUUUUUAAUCAAUUAACUAAUAUAACUGAUGAAAUCAUAAUUCAGCUGCAAAUCUUUUCAUGUAGCUACAAAACUUCAAUUUUUUUUUUGUCUGGGCACCCUUUUUAGGAUUCUUAACAUUUGAAUAUUAAAAAACUAUAAAAAAAAUAAGAUUUUUUAUUUCUGAUGUAUUUCUGUUUUCAAACUUAAUGUUUUUUAAUAUAUUUUUGAUGGAAAUUGUCAGGGAUUCUGUAAGUCAUAUAUAAGAUGAAAUCAUUUUUUUCCAAUCAUUAACAGUAAAAAUAGUUGAAAUACAUUCAUGGAUUUUUGCUAUUUACCAGAUUUGCAUUAAAUUUGUACAUGAAAUCCCAUUUUAGAGCAAUUUUGGGUCUUGAAGGAAAUAAGUCUAGAAACAUCGCGGCACAAUUUUUUUUUGCAUUACAGAUUUAUCAAAAAAAAAAAUUGAAGGGGGACAACCCCCCCCCCUGGGCUAGUCAGGGUUUAGGUUGGAAGUAGUGCAAGACUCAUGCUCUAUUAGCAUUAAGAUGAUAAAUUAACUACAUGUAGGACUGUUAGAUAUUCAUAGACUCAUAUUAGUCUGCAACUUUACUCUUUUUCUUUUUUUUGUUGUUGACUAUUCUGCAAAAGUGGAUCCAAAGGUUUUCCAGAGAUUUUCCCUAUUGAGUUUUAUCUCUGGUUUUUUACCCUGGAUCUACUCGUCGUAGAAUUGUUCAACACCCCCCACCCCCUCCGAAUUUUCUGCAUGAUGCCUAAAUAAUUUUUAUUUUAUCAUGAAUAUCAUUGAAAUGUUCUGUGCAAUAUGAAUUAUUGCACCAUUACAACAAAGAGAGUUACAAUAUGAGCAUUCUUAUUCUCAGUAUUAUCAAAUUUGAUAGAGAAAAGGCAUAUUUUUAUAAUGCACAGAAUAUCAUAUGUGUUGUCUAUUAUCAAAAGAAAUUAUUCAUUAAGGCAUAUGACUAAAUAUUGGGGAAAAACCCAAUAAAUUUGUUAUGUGUCCAGUGAGACAGAUGAGUAUACCUUGAUACAAUAUUUUAGAUGAAAACACAAAUUCCAUUGAAUUUCUAAAUGAAAUAUUUUUUAGCUGUAUAUUGUUUAGUAGUUUCCAGUCCAACUCUUAGUCACAAAAUUGUGAUUAGCUCUAUUGAAAUAGGCAUUGUAAAUUUGCUCUCAGUAUGUGCAAGAAGAAAAAAAAAACUAAUGAAACCUCACAUCGAGGGAUUCAUGCGUAACCAAAAUGUUCUGAUCUUAAAAACCAUGAAAUUAAUUAUCUAAUCAGUAAAAGUAAUUAUUUUAUUGAUUUAUGAAUUUUCUUGUCACACAAGUUGCAUUGGAUUUGUAUAUGAAAUUUGUGCAAUUCUGACUUGCACUCACAAAAUAUUAUGUAAUGUGGGAACCCUGUGUGAGACUUUGCCAGCUAGGUCUCAGAAGCUGCGAGAGACUAAAAAGAAAAAUUUACGAAAUGAAGUGGAUGCUGCCUUUUGUCUUACAAACAUAUUGCUUUUUGCACAAAAUGCUUAGGGAAGGAGUUACCAAGCCCCAACCCCCAGUCGUAAAAUUUACGGUUACGGUGUUUUUGCUUACUUUUGUUGCAUUAUGGUCAUUCAAUGCUUGUUCAAUUUAUAUUGGCCAGGGUAGGAAAUCAUUGUUAUUUUUUCACAUUUGGGCGAUUGGUGUGUUUUGGAGGCUAUUGUUUCAUUUGAAGGGCUACAUGUAUAUUACACCAUAGCUUCAGACCUUCAAGUAAAUGGUCAUAUAAUUUCUUUAUUCAUUGAAGUUUGUGCACAUAUGUAAAGAAAAUAUAUGUUUGGUAUAUUAUGUUGCAUGUGUAUCUAUGUAUAUUUUCACUUGAAUAUAAGAUAAAAUUUCAAUAUAGGAAAAGGCAAUUUUUUUUCUAUAGAGAACAUUUCUUUAUUGAGCAUAGAUGGAGAAAAUUUAGAAGGCGCUAACAAUUUCAAACCACAAUGAUAGGAGAAUAGAGUCCAGCCAACAGGGCAUGAGCAAAUUGCCCCAUCAUGGCAUUUGAUUAUUACAUUGUACAUUCAGAUGGAAAAUGGAAAAGAGAAAAUCUUUUGCUGCUAUAUAUAAUACAAUACAAUACAAUUAGUGAGUGUUUCACAAAUAAAUCCUAAGUAAAAUCAUUUGUAAGUGCCAACACAAUUUAAUGGGCAAUCUUAUUGAUAAUCCGCAGUAUAUCACAGAGCGUGAUCCUUUGGUAUCCAGCUAUAAAUAUGAUGAUCGCUUGUUUUCCACACGCGAAUGGAAUUUAAGAGGGAGUAUGUAGGCGUAGCCACAGUUAAAUUUAUGUGAAACACCCCUUUGAUAUGUCUCGUAUGUCACAUCCAAUGUUAGAUAGCUUGGACCUGCCCUAUAUAGGGACAGUGAUUUUCUGUUCACCAGUUAAUCAAAAUUGAAAAUCAGUUUUGGUUCUUUCCUUUUCAUGUGAAAAUUAAUUGAAUUUUCCUUUGCAAAAUGGAAUUCAUGUUAUUGCUGUGUUCAUUUUCAAUGAAAAAACAGAAUUUCCAUUUUAGAUCAAUUUUGAAAUGGAAUUACAGGUUUCCAGAAACAGAAAAACAAUUUUUUUAAAGGAAAAAUCACUGUCCCUUACUGUAGUGUAUAUGUAUGAUUGUUUGUACUCUAUACUUGCUUUGUAUCUAUGAUUUUCAUAUUUUUUGUAAAUUUUCAUUAAAAAUUGUAAGGCCGGCAGCCGAGAAGAUUCAUUCAAGUUGGAGGACCGUAGCAGUUGACCUCAUUGAUUGAUGGAGUAAGCCUGACACCUCACAAACAUGGCUCCCUGUCUGCUUUGAGCUGGGGUCUUCCUGCCAGAAUCACACAAUUGGUGACAUCACUACCAAGAGUUCUAUAUUUCAGUGUGCAGAGAAGGACACUGGACACUGCUGUGCAUGGUAUACCGCAUCCAUAAUGUAAGUGCUUUAUUUCUGAUUUCAAUGAUAUUUUGUGUAGCUGAGAGUGCCAUUGGUUUUCCACAAAUUAUUACUCCGAGGGUAAAAUUAUCAUAGAAAGUAUUGGGCAGCAAUUUCACACACAUUGGGCUGUAAAUCCGCAUUUUGCCUCAAUUUCCUUUUUUAAUUCAUGAAAUUUUCUUUAAUCUUUGGCAUCAAAUUCUUUUCAUGAAAGUCAAUCAAUACAAAAAAUAAUAUUCCCGACGGCAAUUUUGAUAAAAUUUCUUUCUUACCUCAAAAAUACUUGCAUUAUCUGUUGAUCCUUUGAUUGCCGUCUUUCUUUAUAUACUUCCCUGUACUAUCUGCUCUCGCUGCUGCUCUAAAUUCAUCUUUGUUUCACAUCGUCGCAACAUAGUAUAUGACAUGACUGAUAUAAUAAUGUGCUAAUAGGACAUACAUGUAAAAGGUUAGGAGAUUUAUAUAUAUUUAAAGACUUUGAUCUCAUUUUUAAAAUUAAUUGCAGAGCCAUGAUAGAGCAGUGAGAAUUAGUUUGCAAUAAAUCUAUACCUUUUUUCUGUACGUAUUGAUUUUUCGGACAGACUCAUUUGAAGUCAUUCUUCAAACUGUUUGGUCCUUUCCCCAUUCACCAUAAACCUAAAUGUUUGUAAAAAUGCUGAGUGUGUAUCCAUCAUGUAAACACACAAUGCGAGAGAUUUAGCCAGACCUGUAUUGGAUGAUAAUGAUAUUGUGAUGAAGGUGGCUUCUCAAUAUCGCUUCGUCCGCCAAAAAAAAAAAAAAAAAAGCAACAACAAAAAAUGGCUUCUAUACUCAACUUUGAAUAAAAAGUUGAACCCAUUUUUAUGAGGAUUGUGUGCUUCAAUGGUUUUUCCACAAUGUUAUAAAUAGAAAAUAUUCCUUCAAUCAGUGCAAUCCAAGUUGUCUGGAAUCUAGUUUUAGAAGUGCAAUGUCAAAUUUUGAUUUCUAUCUUGCCAGCAAGUGCUCUUUACUUUUCUAGAGCCUUGCCCACUGUAGUGUUUCUAGUUGACCCUUAUCGAUAUUUUGUAGCGUGCCUCUUGCACAUUUGUAAAAUCCAUUUGUUGGAGCAGUUUAGCACAGACGGCAUUUGGGUUUAGUGGCAGGGAUCAAGGUCGAUCAAGAACCAGUUGGCACUCCAAAGAAGAGAAGAGAUGAACUGUUGACCUAUGUUUGCAGAGGGAGCUGUGAACUUCUGGAGUAGUGUUUCAAUUGCAUGUGACAUUUUUGUAUUUGGUGUUUGAAAAUCUGGUAAUGUUGUUGUAAUCAUCAAUACUCUCUGACCAAGAGGAAUAGUGUUCUUUUCAACCUAUUUGUUGGUAUCCAGUGUUCUUCAAAACAUCAUGCAAGUUGCAUGACUAGAAAUUCAAAUGGUGAUAUGAGGGGUCUGUGCUUUUGAUUGUUUUACUGAUACAUAGUGCCUUACAGGUGGUCUACAUGGCUCUUGCUAUCUGAGCUUAUUCACAUCUUGAAUUCAUCCACAUUUCAGUCUGUGGGUAGAGCAGUAUUCCACCAGAUUGUCAACCUGAAGAAGUCUUCAUUUUCCAAAUUGUCCAUAUUUGUUCGAUCAUUGCAUUGUCUGGUAUUUUCCUCCAGAGAACAUUUAAAGUCAUAUCCUUUGUGAAUGAGUGUGCAUUUACCGGUAUUCACUUGGCUGAAUUCAACAAGGGUUGCUGUAUUUGGGAAGGCACUUGAUGGAACUUGGCAUUUCUGAUUUGGUUGUCUUUUAAAUUGCCAUUAUCUCUCUCCUGUGAUUUGAAAACUUUGGACAAGCCUAAAAAAUUGGUUCAAAUCAGGCUUUUAUACCUUCUGUGGUCAUAGAGGAUUGUAACAUUGCUUGCAGGAAGCAGCCAGGGUAGGACGACUCUUCGAGACCUGCGAGUUCUGACCAUGAUUAUCAAUGGAAGAUGCUUGUAAUUUCUUGAAAAGCUUCAUCAGCACCCACACAUGGUGCCAUCACCCUCAAGGGUUCAGAGCGAAUGAUUGAUCAAGGCUUGACCGUGGUAUAUUAUUCAAUUAAAGAGGAUUUUCGUACCUUGAAUAGCCUCAGCAGGAUUUUGAUAUAGAUCUACGAUUGUGACAUGGACGAAGGGGCACUCUAGCCUAUGAGUAUCUCAGUUUGUAAAGUUUUUUUUUUUUUGAAGAUAAGGAGUAAUUGGACGACGACUUUCUGUAGAUUGUUACAACGGUUCCCGACAUCCAGUCUGGAAUGAAUUUUGGAAAUUCUAUUUGGUUCCGUCUGUGAAGUUUGACAUUUUUUUGUGCAGAAGAUUGUUAUUGACCUUUUGCCUAAAGCGAUGGAUUCUUACAUCUAGUCUGGAGUGAGCUGUGGAAAUGUCGAUUUGGUGCUGUUUUUGAAGUUCCUCAAUUUUCUUUUGGCUGAGGAUAGUUUUUCCUACAUCUAUUUUGGAACGAGUUUUUGAAAUUUCAUAGGCUGCUGUCUCAAAAAUUUGACAUUGUGCUUUACUACUAGAUAACAUGCAUUGUACUGUGAUGAUUGAUGGUUCAUUGUGGGAUAUAGAGUGCACUUCCUCAGGACGAGCCUAUCUUGAGGGUUCGACCUGUUAGAUCUAGAUUCACAAUAUCUUAUCAUUCUGAAUGCAAUAGCUUUGUCUCUCAAAAUUGUGUGGAAGAAGUGUUGGAUGCAUACGCAGACCAAAAAAAAUGGUUCUUGUAUGAUGGUGGAUAAAUAAAAUGAACUUGAAGGAGAAACAAUGAAAACAAAAGAAAAAGAAUACAGAGAAACCAUCAAAUAAUUGUUUUCACUGGUGGUUUAUUUCUAUUAACCAAAAUGCAGUGUUCAUUGAAGUUCUUAAAAACACAAUUAUAUUUGUACAGAAAAACGGUGUAUUUAAUUGCAAAUAUGUAAUAUUUCCCAUCUGCUCAGGCUACUGAUCACUGGAAAAGAAAAGGCCCCCCCCCAAAAAAAAAAAAUUGAAUAAAUAAAUAAAUGAAAAUAAAAAAAAUAUACAAAAGGACAGAAUUGUUCUAAUAUUUCCCACCUGCUCAUUUGAAAAGAAAAGGCAACCCCCCCCAAAAAAAAUGAUAAUAAUAGUAAUGAUAAAGGUAAAUAAAUAAAUAGAUGAAUAAUAAUAAUAAAGUAAUGCAAAAAAGACAAAAUUAUAAUGAAAACUAGUAAUAAUACUGUAUGAUUUAAUUAUUUAGAACAUUUUAAUAUCAGUCAUGUUUUUAGAUUUUGAAAUGUGAAAUGAAGGAAGAUUAGCAGAUUUGGGGAGCACUUCAUGAAGAGAUUUGUCAGUGAUUAUCACCGACUAAUUUGCUAUUGACCAAUCAGAUGCAGUGAUUUACAAUAGCUCAUAACAUCUGUGGGUGAAAAUCACAGACAGAAAUCUUCAUGAAAUGCUUCCCUGGGUGGAUAGUACAGGGAGGUAUGGAGAGAAGGCACAAUUAAUGGAUUAACUGGUAAACAUGUGGAAAGGAGAAGAG